UACCAGCACCCCGAGUGGUUGGGACGUUUAUUGGGCCUAAAGCAUCCGUAGCCGGUUCUACAAGUCUUCCGUUAAAUCCAACUGCUUAACAGGUGGGCUGCGGAAGAUACUAUAGAGCUAGGAGGCGGGAGAGGCAAGCGGUACUCGAUGGGUAGGGGUAAAAUCCGUUGAUCCAUUGAAGACCACCAGUGGCGAAGGCGGCUUGCCAGAACGCGCUCGACGGUGAGGGAUGAAGCUGGGGGCGCAAACCGG
RNAcentral lists this ribosomal RNA (252 nucleotides) under uncultured bacterium. RNAcentral's name for it is "partial 16S ribosomal RNA". It matches the Rfam family "Archaeal small subunit ribosomal RNA", at positions 474 to 727 of the family's 1478-position model. The record is from RNAcentral.